AGCACUCCUACGGGAGGCAGCAGUGGGGAAUAUUGCACAAUGGGCGCAAGCCUGAUGCAGCCAUGCCGCGUGUAUGAAGAAGGCCUUCGGUUGUAAAGUACUUUCAGCAGUGAGGAAGGUGGAUAUGUUAAUAGCAUAUUCAUUUGACGUUUAGCUGCAGAAGAAGCACCAGCUAACUCCGUGCCAGCAGCCGCGGUAAUACGGAGGGUGCGAGCGUUAAUCGGAAUUACUGGGCGUAAAGCGCAUGCAGGUGGUUUGUUAAGUCAGAUGUGAAAGCCCGGGGCUCAACCUCGGAAUUGCAUUUGAAACUGGCAAACUAGAGUACUGUAGAGGGGGUAGAAUUUCAGGUGUAGCGGUGAAAUGCGUAGAGAUCUGAAGGAAUACCGGUGGCGAAGGCGGCCCCCUGGACAGAUACUGACACUCAGAUGCGAAAGCGUGGGGAGCAAACAGGAUUAGAUACCCUGGUAG
This 468-nucleotide ribosomal RNA is filed under the name uncultured bacterium. RNAcentral's name for it is "bacterial SSU rRNA". It matches the Rfam family "Bacterial small subunit ribosomal RNA", at positions 332 to 793 of the family's 1533-position model. The record is from RNAcentral.